UACGGAGGGUGCAAGUGUUAUUCGGAUUUACUGGGCGUAAAGAGCACGUAGGCGGAUAGGUCAGUCAGAUGUGAAAGCCCGGAGCUUAACUCCGGAACUGCAUUUGAUACUACCUGUCUUGAGUAUGGUAGAGGGGGGUGGAAUUCCCGGUGUAGAGGUGAAAUUCGUAGAUAUCGGGAGGAACACCAGAGGCGAAGGCGACCCCCUGGGCCAUAACUGACGCUGAGGUGCGAAAGCGUGGGGAGCAAACAGG
This 253-nucleotide ribosomal RNA is filed under the name uncultured bacterium. Its description in RNAcentral is "partial 16S ribosomal RNA". It matches the Rfam family "Bacterial small subunit ribosomal RNA", at positions 524 to 776 of the family's 1533-position model. The record is from RNAcentral.